This 250-nucleotide ribosomal RNA is filed under the name uncultured bacterium. RNAcentral's name for it is "partial 16S ribosomal RNA". It matches the Rfam family "Bacterial small subunit ribosomal RNA", at positions 524 to 773 of the family's 1533-position model. The record is from RNAcentral.
UACGUAGGGGGCGAGCGUUGUCCGGAAUCAUUGGGCGUAAAGGGCGUGUAGGUGGUCAGAUAAGUCAGAUGUGAAAACUUGAGGCUCAACUUCAAGCCUGCAUCUGAAACUGUCUGACUUGAGGACAGGAGAGGAAAGUGGAAUUCCAAGUGUAGCGGUGAAAUGCGUAGAGAUUUGGAAGAACACCAGUGGCGAAGGCGACUUUCUGGACUGUUCCUGACACUGAGACGCGAAAGCUAGGGGAGCGAAC